GUAAGGGAUAUUGCGACAAUGGGCGAAAGCCUGACGCAGCAACGCCGCGUGCGGGAUGACGGCCUUCGGGUUGUAAACCGCUUUUCGAGGUGAAGAGGAAGGACGGUAGCCUCGGAAGAAGUCUCGGCUAACUACGUGCCAGCAGCCGCGGUAAAACGUAGGAGGCGAGCGUUAUCCGGAUUUACUGGGUGUAAAGCGCGAGCAGGCGGCCUUGUAAGUUGUGCGUGAAAGCGCCCAGGCUCAACCGGGCGAGGACGUGCAAAACUGCGAGGCUAGAGGUAGGUAGAGGCAGAUGGAAUUCCGGGUGUAGUGGUGAAAUGCGUAGAGAUCCGGAGGAACACCAGUGGCGAAGGCGGUCUGCUGGGCCUGACCUGACGCUCAGACGCGAAAGCAUGGGGAGCGAACGGGAUUAGAUACCCUUGUAGUCC
RNAcentral lists this ribosomal RNA (428 nucleotides) under uncultured bacterium. RNAcentral's name for it is "bacterial SSU rRNA". It matches the Rfam family "Bacterial small subunit ribosomal RNA", at positions 354 to 796 of the family's 1533-position model. The record is from RNAcentral.